AGAGUUUGAUCAUGGCUCAGAAUCAACGCUGGCGGCGUGCCUAACACAUGCAAGUCGAACGCGAAAGUCCCGCAAGGGAUGAGUAGAGUGGCAAACGGGUGAGUAACACGUGGGUGACCUGCCUUCGAGCGGGGGAUAACGUCCCGAAAGGGACGCUAAUACCGCAUGACAUCCUGCCUUUGAAGAGGUGGAGAUCAAAGCUGGGGAUCGCAAGACCUAGCACUCGAAGAGGGGCCCGCGCCUGAUUAGCUAGUUGGUGGGGUAACGGCUCACCAAGGCAACGAUCAGUAGCCGGCCUGAGAGGGCGGACGGCCACACUGGGACUGAGACACGGCCCAGACUCCUACGGGAGGCAGCAGUGGGGAAUUGUUCGCAAUGGGCGCAAGCCUGACGACGCAACGCCGCGUGGAGGACGAAGACCUUCGGGUCGUAAACUCCUUUCGAUCGAGACGAACGGUCUCCGGGUGAACAAUCCGGAGGAGUGACGGUACCGAGAGAAGAAGCCCCGGCUAACUCCGUGCCAGCAGCCGCGGUAAUACGGGGGGGGCAAGCGUUGUUCGGAAUUACUGGGCGUAAAGGGCUCGUAGGUGGCCAACUAAGUCAGACGUGAAAUCCCUCAGCUUAACUGGGGAACUGCGUCUGAUACUGGAUGGCUUGAGAUUGGGAGAGGGAUGCGGAAUUCCAGGUGUAGCGGUGAAAUGCGUAGAUAUCUGGAGGAACACCGGUGGCGAAGGCGGCAUCCUGGACCAACACUGACACUGAGGAGCGAAAGCCAGGGGAGCAAACGGGAUUAGAUACCCCCGUAGUCC
Molecule: ribosomal RNA, 809 nt
Filed under: uncultured bacterium
Lineage: Bacteria
Description: bacterial SSU rRNA
Rfam family: Bacterial small subunit ribosomal RNA
Source: RNAcentral